UUUGACCUCAAAUCAGGUAGGACUACCCGCUGAACUUAAGCAUAUCAAUAAGCGGAGGAAAAGAAACUACCAAGGAUUCCCCUAGU
This 86-nucleotide ribosomal RNA is filed under the name Agrocybe besseyi. RNAcentral describes it as "Galeropsis besseyi partial 28S ribosomal RNA". It matches the Rfam family "Eukaryotic large subunit ribosomal RNA", at positions 1 to 84 of the family's 3401-position model. Lineage: Eukaryota; Fungi; Basidiomycota; Agaricomycetes; Agaricales; Agrocybaceae. The record is from RNAcentral.